UACGGGGGGAGCAAGCGUUGUUCGGAUUUACUGGGCGUAAAGGGCGCGUAGGCGGCCACCGCAAGUCGACUGUGAAAUCUCCGGGCUUAACCCGGAAAGGUCAGCCGAUACUGCGGGGCUAGAGUGCAGAAGGGGCAACUGGAAUUCUCGGUGUAGCGGUGAAAUGCGUAGAUAUCGAGAGGAACACCUGCGGCGAAGGCGGCCACCUGGACGGUAACUGACGCUGAGACGCGAAAGCGUGGGGAGCAAACAGG
Molecule: ribosomal RNA, 254 nt
Filed under: uncultured bacterium
Lineage: Bacteria
Description: partial 16S ribosomal RNA
Rfam family: Bacterial small subunit ribosomal RNA
Source: RNAcentral